AUUGAACGCUGGCGGCAGGCCUAACACAUGCAAGUCGAACGGUAGCACAGAGAGCUUGCUCUCGGGUGACGAGUGGCGGACGGGUGAGUAAUGUCUGGGAAACUGCCCGAUGGAGGGGGAUAACUACUGGAAACGGUAGCUAAUACCGCAUAAUGUCGCAAGACCAAAGAGGGGGACCUUCGGGCCUCUUGCCAUCGGAUGUGCCCAGAUGGGAUUAGCUAGUUGGUGAGGUAAUGGCUCACCAAGGCGACGAUCCCUAGCUGGUCUGAGAGGAUGACCAGCCACACUGGAACUGAGACACGGUCCAGACUCCUACGGGAGGCAGCAGUGGGGAAUAGUGCACAAUGGGCGCAAGCCUGAUGCAGCCAUGCCGCGUGUAUGAAGAAGGCCUUCGGGUUGUAAAGUACUUUCAGCGGGGAGGAAGGCGAUACGGUUAAUAACCGUAUUGAUUGACGUUACCCGCAGAAGAAGCACCGGCUAACUCCGUG
RNAcentral lists this ribosomal RNA (488 nucleotides) under uncultured bacterium. RNAcentral's name for it is "partial 16S ribosomal RNA". It matches the Rfam family "Bacterial small subunit ribosomal RNA", at positions 30 to 507 of the family's 1533-position model. The record is from RNAcentral.